RNAcentral lists this ribosomal RNA (451 nucleotides) under uncultured bacterium. RNAcentral describes it as "bacterial SSU rRNA". It matches the Rfam family "Bacterial small subunit ribosomal RNA", at positions 355 to 796 of the family's 1533-position model. The record is from RNAcentral.
UCGAGGAUCUUUGGCAAUGGGCGCAAGCCUGACCAAGCGACGCCGCGUGCGGGAUGAAGGCCUUCGGGUUGUAAACCGCUGUCGAGGGGGAUGAAGGGCACGGGGGUACUCCUCCGUGUCACGCCUGACACAUCCCUGGAGGAAGCACGGGCUAAGUUCGUGCCAGCAGCCGCGGUAAGACGAACCGUGCGAACGUUGUUCGGAAUCACUGGGCUUAAAGGGCGCGUAGGCGGCUUGCCAAGUCUGCGGUGAAAUCUUUCGGCUCAACCGGAAAAUGGCCGUGGAUACUGGCGAGCUCGAGGGAGGUAGGGGCAGUGGGAACUUCCAGUGGAGCGGUGAAAUGCGUUGAUAUUGGAAGGAACGCCGGUGGCGAAAGCGCACUGCUGGAUCUCUUCUGACGCUGAGGCGCGAAAGCUAGGGGAGCAAACGGGAUUAGAUACCCCCGUAGUCC